CGCGGGAGUGCGCGAGCCUAGGCUGGCGGGGGCAGCUUGGCUUGGGGAUUAUGGGGUUGCCCUGUUACUCGGUUGUUUCUAAUUGCAAAAUCUUAUAGGCAUUUAAGGAAAAAAAAGUUACUGAAUUACAACAGUGCACUUUUUAUUCCUUAUUUUACCCUGCUCCUGGUACAUAUAACUGUAAUGUACAUAUUCGUUCCACCACAAUUUAUUAAAGUCCUAUUAUGUGCCCCGCAAGCCCUGUUAACGGAAUCGGGAGGAGGUUAUAGCAGUGAACAAAACAGUAAUCUGCUGGAGAUUACGUUUCAAUUCGGAAAGUGAACACUGAAUAACUCAACAAAUCUACAUGCGUUCGUAGAGAUCAGAAGUGUGUGGAAGGGAAAAGUUUGCUCAGAAACUAAAGGAAGGAGGGCGCCCAUUAGUUUGAGAUGCUGAGAAAGUUAACUAUGAAGAGGCCUGUUGAAUUGAGAAGUCAGCUCUGUCGAGAUCUGGAGGAAGAACAACCAAGAGAAGGACCGACAUGUUCGAAAAUUAUGGGGAGGAGAUAAUAUCUGGUGCCGUUGUGAAAGUGAGAAAGGAGGCUGCGGAAAGAACGGAAGAUGCGAUCAACAAGGCAAGCAGAGCCCUGAUCUUGGAGAGCCUUUCUGAGUCAACAUAAACGGCCACAAGUUUGCCUCCGUGGUGGAUAUUUUCCCAUCUCGAUGACUUCAUCUAUUCUCAUGGGACUACCACCGGGGCCAGGAAGAUGGAGAAUUUAUCCUUCAAUUCCCAUUUAUCGCUGACUGAGGGCUAAUUUCCUGGUGCUUAUGGCCCAUCGCUCACAACGAAGAAAUCCCUCAAGUGAAGAGCCACAGGGGCUUCCAGGAGCAGGCUCUGGGCGUAUGCGGGAACAGCCAGUGCUAGUGGAUAUGAGUGCGGGCGCUGCACUCAUCUUCGCUGCAGCCAUGCUGAGGAGGCAGAACUUUGUUCUAAGUGUGUGGGGGCUGGAUGGGGUUGAUUGAGCUAUUGAAUGCAGCAGAGCAGUGCGUUCGUAUUGGAAUUAGAUAUUGCUCUGAUGGGAACUGAAGGGGGAUGGACUCUUCAGUUAGGAAGCUGUGUCUGUAAUCCAGGGGAGAACUCAUGAAUGCACAAACAAGUGCGAUGGUAGGUCAGAUGGAGAGGAAGGGAUGGAUUCAAGAUAUAUUUAGGAGGUAGAACCGACAGGAAAUACAAAAGGAAGGAUAAAUUUGAGGAAUUUCUGCAACCCUAAAAGAACUCUUAACAUUGAGCUAAACUAAAAGUGAAAUCUUCUCUUUCAUAAAGACAGAAUGCCGAUGUGAUCACAAGCUGCCUCAGGGCCUUUGCACGGGCUCUUUGCAGCACAGGCUCUUUCUCUGCUUGCAACAUCUCCCCCCUUCCCCAGUCUCAUGACCCAUUCCCCAGCAUGUUGUGGGUCUAUGCUAAAUAGCCCCUUCUCAAAGAGGCCUUCCAUGACUGCUUAGUAUAAAAUUGCAAGCUACCUUCCCCCCCAUCCUUUCUCCA
This is a long non-coding RNA of Ailuropoda melanoleuca (giant panda), 1521 nucleotides long. RefSeq lists it as uncharacterized. Lineage: Eukaryota; Metazoa; Chordata; Mammalia; Carnivora; Ursidae. The transcript is spliced from 3 exons. The record is from RefSeq and is a predicted model, not a curated record.